GACAUAGGGGGCAAACGUUAUCCGGAAUUAUUGGGCGUAAAGGGUGCGUAGGUGGUUCAAUAAGUUACUGGUGGCAAAUCGGGGCCCAACCCCGUGGAAGUCGGUAAUACUAUUAAACUAGAGGAUCGGAGAGGUUAACGGAAUUCUAUGUGUAGCGGUAAAAUGCUCAAAUAUAUAGAGGAACACCAAACGGCGAAGGCAGUUAACUAUUCGGUGCCUGACGUUGAGGCACGAAAGCGUGGGGAGCAAGACGG
This 254-nucleotide ribosomal RNA is filed under the name uncultured bacterium. Its description in RNAcentral is "partial 16S ribosomal RNA". It matches the Rfam family "Bacterial small subunit ribosomal RNA", at positions 524 to 776 of the family's 1533-position model. The record is from RNAcentral.